UACGUAGGGUGCAAGCGUUAAUCGGAAUUACUGGGCGUAAAGCGUACGCAGGCGGCUUUGCAAGACAGGUGUGAAAUCCCCGGGCCUAACCUGGGAACUGCAUUUGUGACUGCAUGGCUAGAGUCUGUCAGAGGGGGGUGGACUUCCACGUGUAGCAGUGAAAUGCGUAGAGAUGUGGAAGAACACCGAUGGCGAAGGCAGCCCCCUGGGAUGAGACUGACGCUCAUAUACGACAGCGUGGGGAGCUAACAGC
RNAcentral lists this ribosomal RNA (253 nucleotides) under uncultured bacterium. Its description in RNAcentral is "partial 16S ribosomal RNA". It matches the Rfam family "Bacterial small subunit ribosomal RNA", at positions 524 to 776 of the family's 1533-position model. The record is from RNAcentral.